This 71-nucleotide transfer RNA is filed under the name Habroteleia persimilis. RNAcentral's name for it is "tRNA-Leu". Lineage: Eukaryota; Metazoa; Arthropoda; Insecta; Hymenoptera; Scelionidae. The record is from RNAcentral.
CCUAAUAUGUCAGAAAAUUGUAAUAAACUUAAAAUUUAUAAAUAAAAUAUUUAUAUAUAUUUUUAUUAGGA